This 377-nucleotide ribosomal RNA is filed under the name uncultured bacterium. RNAcentral describes it as "bacterial SSU rRNA". It matches the Rfam family "Bacterial small subunit ribosomal RNA", at positions 523 to 898 of the family's 1533-position model. The record is from RNAcentral.
AGACGUAGGGGGCAAGCGUUGUCCGGAAUUAUUGGGCGUAAAGAGCUCGUAGGUGGGAUUAUAAGUCAGCAAGUAAAUAUCUCGGCUCAACUGAGAUCUCAUUGUUGAUACUGUAAUUCUUGAGGACAGGAGAGGAAAGUGGAAUUCCCGGUGUAGCGGUGAAAUGCGUAGAGAUCGGGAGGAACACCAGUGGCGAAGGCGGCUUUCUGGCCUGAUUCUGACACUGAGGAGCGAAAGCUAGGGGAGCGAACGGGAUUAGAUACCCCGGUAGUCCUAGCCGUAAACGAUGGGCACUAGGUGUAGGAGGUGUUAAUCCCUUCUGUGCCGCAGUUAACACAAUAAGUGCCCCGCCUGGGGAGUACGGCCGCAAGGUUGAA